Non-coding RNA from Pelobates cultripes (western spadefoot toad), 224 nucleotides. The record is from the annotation of a GenBank genome assembly. NCBI's taxonomy places the organism in Eukaryota, Metazoa, Chordata, Amphibia, Anura, Pelobatidae.
CUGUAGUGAGCAUGUGUCGGUGAGCUUGUUAGUAAUAGGCAUGUGUCAGUGAGCUUGUUAGUAAUAAGCAUGUGUGUCUCAGUGAGCUUGUUAUUAGUGAGCAUGUGUCUCAGUGAUCUUGUUAUUAGUGAGCAUAUGUGUCAGUGAGCUUGUCUGUAGUGAGCAUUGCAAAGAGUCAACUGACAGACGCUAACUUGAAAAAGCAGUUGCUAGUAGCAACAUCA